GCAUAUCAAUAAGCGGAGGAAAAGAAACCAACAGGGAUUGCCUCAGUAACGGCGAGUGAAGCGGCAAAAGCUCAAAUUUGAAAUCUAGUACCUUUGGUGCUCGAGUUGUAAUUUGAAGAUAGUUUUCUGGUACUGGCCCUUGUCUAUGUUCCUUGGAACAGGACGUCAUAGAGGGUGAGAAUCCCGUCUGAUGGGGUGUCCAGUGCUUUGUAGAUUUCUAUCGAAGAGUCGAGUUGUUUGGGAAUGCAGCUCUAAGUGGGUGGUAAAUUCCAUCUAAAGCUAAAUACUGGCGAGAGACCGAUAGCGAACAAGUACAGUGAUGGAAAGAUGAAAAGAACUUUGAAAAGAGAGUGAAAAAGUACGUGAAAUUGUUGAAAGGGAAGGAUAUUGGAUCAGACUUGGUGUUUUGUGAUUAUCUUCCCUUCUUGGGUUGUGCACUCGCAUUUCACUGGGCCAGCAUCGGUUCGGAUGGCAAGAUAAUGGCUUGGGAACGUGGCACUCUUCGGAGUGUGUUAUAGCCCUUGUUGAUGUUGCCUAUCUGGACCGAGGACUGCGGCUUCUGCCUAGGAUGCUGGCGUAAUGAUUCAAUAU
RNAcentral lists this ribosomal RNA (591 nucleotides) under ascomycete sp. YP2-ET-B-0. Its description in RNAcentral is "eukaryotic LSU rRNA". It matches the Rfam family "Eukaryotic large subunit ribosomal RNA", at positions 38 to 645 of the family's 3401-position model. Lineage: Eukaryota; Fungi; Ascomycota. RNAcentral also lists the same sequence under 2 other names. The record is from RNAcentral.